GACGAACGCUGGCGGCGUGCCUAAUACAUGCAAGUAGAACGCACAGUUUAUACCGUAGCUUGCUACACCAUAGACUGUGAGUUGCGAACGGGUGAGUAACGCGUAGGUAACCUGCCUGGUAGCGGGGGAUAACUAUUGGAAACGAUAGCUAAUACCGCAUAAUAUUGAUUAUUGCAUGAUAAUUGAUUGAAAGAUGCUAUUGCAUCACUACCAGAUGGACCUGCGUUGUAUUAGCUAGUAGGUGAGGUAACGGCUCACCUAGGCGACGAUACAUAGCCGACCUGAGAGGGUGAUCGGCCACACUGGGACUGAGACACGGCCCAGACUCCUACGGGAGGCAGCAGUAGGGAAUCUUCGGCAAUGGACGAAAGUCUGACCGAGCAACGCCGCGUGAGUGAAGAAGGUUUUCGGAUCGGAAAGCUCUGUUGUAAGAGAAGAACGGGUGUGAGAGUGGAAAGUUCACACUGUGACGGUAUCUUACCAGAAAGGGACGGCUAACUACGUG
This 505-nucleotide ribosomal RNA is filed under the name uncultured bacterium. Its description in RNAcentral is "partial 16S ribosomal RNA". It matches the Rfam family "Bacterial small subunit ribosomal RNA", at positions 28 to 507 of the family's 1533-position model. The record is from RNAcentral.